RNAcentral lists this transfer RNA (77 nucleotides) under bacterium. RNAcentral's name for it is "tRNA-Pro". It matches the Rfam family "tRNA". From Rfam's summary of the family: Transfer RNA (tRNA) molecules are approximately 80 nucleotides in length. The record is from RNAcentral.
CGGGGAGUGGCGCAGCCUGGCAGCGCAUCUGGUUUGGGACCAGAGGGUCGCAGGUUCAAAUCCUGCCUUCCCGACCA